CGGAGAAUCACUGAGAGCUGCUACCG
Molecule: non-coding RNA, 26 nt
Filed under: Cricetulus griseus (Chinese hamster)
Lineage: Eukaryota; Metazoa; Chordata; Mammalia; Rodentia; Cricetidae
Source: RNAcentral